AGUGAACGCUGGCGGUAGGCCUAACACAUGCAAGUCGAACGACAGCACAGUAAGAGCUUGCUCUUACGGGUGGCGAGUGGCGGACGGGUGAGGAAUACAUCGGAAUCUACUUUUUCGUGGGGGAUAACGUAGGGAAACUUACGCUAAUACCGCAUACGACCUACGGGUGAAAGCAGGGGAUCUUCGGACCUUGCGCGAUUGAAUGAGCCGAUGUCGGAUUAGCUAGUUGGCGGGGUAAAGGCCCACCAAGGCGACGAUCCGUAGCUGGUCUGAGAGGAUGAUCAGACACACUGGAACUGAGAAACGGUCCAGACUCCUACGCGAGGCAGCAGUCGGGAAUAUUGGACAAUGGGCGCAAGCCUGAUCCAGCCAUACCGCGUGGGUGAAGAAGGCGUUCGGGUUGUAAAGCCAUUUUGUUGGGAAAGAAAAGCAGCAGGUUUAUACCCCGCGGUUCUGACGGUACCCAAAGAAUAAGCACCGGCUAACUCCGUG
This 492-nucleotide ribosomal RNA is filed under the name uncultured bacterium. RNAcentral's name for it is "partial 16S ribosomal RNA". It matches the Rfam family "Bacterial small subunit ribosomal RNA", at positions 29 to 507 of the family's 1533-position model. The record is from RNAcentral.